AGAUUAAGAAGACAACAUUUGCUUCUACAACCUUGCCACAGCCUGACAUCAAGUUUCAGGCCAAGUUGAGGGUUUUCUUUUCUUUAUUUUUUAAAGUUUAUUUAUUUAUUUUCAAAGAGAGAGAGAGAGAGAGAGCCAGUGCAAGAGCAGGAGAGGGGCAGAGAGAGAAGGAGAGAAAAUCCCAAGCAGGCUCCAUGCUGUCAGUGCAGAGCCUGAUGAGGGCUCCAUCCCAAGAACCACAAGAUCAUGACCUGAGCCAAAAUUGAGAGUCAGGCGCUUAACUUACUAAGCCACCCAGACGCCCCCAACUUGAGGGUUUUCUAACACAAAUAUUCUCAGUCUUUGUGGAUAACCAGAUCCAUUAGAGAAUCUGUAGUACUUAUAGUCUGUGUAAGAAGUCAACAGCAUGGAAUGGAGACAUUUACAAGUAUGGUUGACCAUUACAGGUUCAGCUGUAUAAACUAAAACUAGAAAUGAUGAAGAAGAAGAAAGGAAGAUGGAAUCCAUGUUCUUUAGUGGACACAGAAGUGAAGAGCAGCCAGCUAAAUUAACCUGGAUUGAUGAAUAAGAGGGAAAUUCGGAUAGUGAGACAUGGACACAGAGAGAAGAAUGCUAUUUGAAGACACAGAGACACAUUCAAGGAAGAACACCAGGUGAAAACAAAGGCAUGUAUUGGAGAGAGGCAGCUUCAAGCCAAGAAAUGCCAAAGAUUUCCAGCAAUCAUCACAAUCUAGGAAGAGGAAGAAAAGUCUUCCCUAGAGCCUUCAAAGACAGAGCACGACUCAGCCAACACCUUUAUUUUGGAUUUCUAGCCUCCAGAACUGUGAGAGAAUAAAUUUCUGUUGCUUUAA
Neofelis nebulosa (Clouded leopard) is the source of this 851-nucleotide long non-coding RNA. RefSeq lists it as uncharacterized. The record is from RefSeq and is a predicted model, not a curated record. The transcript has 3 exons. NCBI's taxonomy places the organism in Eukaryota, Metazoa, Chordata, Mammalia, Carnivora, Felidae.